CAGCAGCCACGGUAACACGAAGGGGGCUAGCGUUGUUCGGAAUUACUGGGCGUAAAGGGCGCGUAGGCGGCCAUUCAAGUUAGAUGUGAAAGCCCUGGGCUCAACCUAGGAAUUGCAUUUGAUACUGUUUGGCUUGAGUUCGGGAGAGGUGAGUGGAAUUCCCAGUGUAGAGGUGAAAUUCGUAGAUAUUGGGAAGAACACCAGUGGCGAAGGCGGCUCACUGGACCGACACUGACGCUGAGGCUCGAAAGCGUGGGGAGCAAACAGGAUUAGAUACCCGAGUAGUCCCUGUCUCUUAUAC
Molecule: ribosomal RNA, 301 nt
Filed under: uncultured bacterium
Lineage: Bacteria
Description: partial 16S ribosomal RNA
Rfam family: Bacterial small subunit ribosomal RNA
Source: RNAcentral